UNGGUAGUCUAUGAGCUACAGAUGGAAACCU
Molecule: non-coding RNA, 31 nt
Filed under: Homo sapiens (human)
Lineage: Eukaryota; Metazoa; Chordata; Mammalia; Primates; Hominidae
Source: RNAcentral